GGCUCUAUACUUUAAUAUAAAAGAUUUGAUUUGCAAUUAAAAAUUGAGGAAACUCUAGAACCA
RNAcentral lists this transfer RNA (63 nucleotides) under Anodontites trapesialis. RNAcentral describes it as "tRNA-Ala". It matches the Rfam family "tRNA". Rfam says of the family: Transfer RNA (tRNA) molecules are approximately 80 nucleotides in length. Their secondary structure includes four short double-helical elements and three loops (D, anti-codon, and T loops). Lineage: Eukaryota; Metazoa; Mollusca; Bivalvia; Unionida; Mycetopodidae. The record is from RNAcentral.